UUUGCUUUUAAACGGGUCAUUAAACAAAGGGCGUAAGCCUGUAUCAAGAACUAAUCCUCCAUGAUCCUGAACUACAGUUUCCAAUGCACUUCGGUCAUAGGCAUCCUCAUGCACGGGACCGCUGAAUGCAAACACGCAAUCGUCAAAGAUGAGCUGAUUACUUUCUGAAUCCAAGUUCUUCUUGACAAAGGAAGAAUCCCUUUCUUUCAAAGAAGAGCGGUUUCUCUGAGAAUCAUGUGAAGGAAGAAAUGAUGUUUCCUCAAACUUCAUAUCUUUUAAAGUAGAAAAACUGAGGUCUCUUCCUUGAAACCGCCGAAUGUUCACAGGAGCAACAUAAAUAGUAGAAAUGGGAACCGUAACCUCAAUUUCUCCGUGUGCCAAAAUAACCAUGUCGUUGUUUAGAGCGUCCACUGCUAUAAGGGAUAAUUGCUCAUUAGUAGAUCGAAAUGUUUUCACAACAGUAUGCUUGAUUUUUCCUAAUCUUGUGGAUUGUACAACGUCUCCUUUUUUCAAAAAAAAUCUCUUAAUUUGAUUUGAAUUAACCGUGCUCAUAGUUGCAUCAUCAAAUUGAACCUUAUACAUGAUGGAACUUGUUACGGCUGAAUGUACGGGUGCGACAAGAGUUGCUGGGUAGUAAAAAGAGGGAUAUCCUUUAAAAAAAGCGAGUACACGGUUUUUAAAAGACCUUCUUGAAUUCGGUGAUUGGGAAGGUUUUAAUGGCUUAAUAGAAGCCCUAGUGAAUAAACUAUCAAUUUUAGGAGUAUCCAGGCUUAGGCUGUCAGACCUUGAGAUAGCUUGAUUAUUAACCGAUUUUCUCAGCCGU
Non-coding RNA from Schizosaccharomyces pombe (fission yeast), 823 nucleotides. The record is from the annotation of a GenBank genome assembly. NCBI's taxonomy places the organism in Eukaryota, Fungi, Ascomycota, Schizosaccharomycetes, Schizosaccharomycetales, Schizosaccharomycetaceae.